UACGUAGGGGGGCUAGCGUUGUCCGGAAUCAUUGGGCGUAAAGAGCGUGUAGGCGGUCCGGUAAGUCCGCUGUGAAAGUCGGGGGCUCAACCCUCGAAUGCCGGUGGAUACUGUCGGGCUAGAGUGCGGAAGAGGCGAGUGGAAUUCCUGGUGUAGCGGUGAAAUGCGCAGAUAUCAGGAGGAACACCUAUUGCGAAGGCAGCUCGCUGGGACGUAACUGACGCUGAGACGCGAAAGCGUGGGGGGAGCAAACAGG
This 256-nucleotide ribosomal RNA is filed under the name uncultured bacterium. Its description in RNAcentral is "partial 16S ribosomal RNA". It matches the Rfam family "Bacterial small subunit ribosomal RNA", at positions 524 to 776 of the family's 1533-position model. The record is from RNAcentral.